This 533-nucleotide long non-coding RNA is filed under the name Callithrix jacchus (white-tufted-ear marmoset). RNAcentral's name for it is "lncRNA (ENSCJAG00000051959.2)". Lineage: Eukaryota; Metazoa; Chordata; Mammalia; Primates; Cebidae. The record is from RNAcentral.
AGUUUACAAAAUUAUUUUUUAAUUUUUAUUAUUUUUAUAUUUUACAGAGAUGGGGCUCUUGCUGUAUUGCUCAGGCUGGUCUUGAACUUCUGGACUCAAGCAAUCCCCCACCCCAGCCUCCCCAGGUGCUGGGAUUAAAGUCAUUACCACUUGAGCAACAUAAUGAAAGCUAGAUGAAAAAUCUCUUAUGUGAGUGUCUAGAUACUUCAAGGUUGAAAGAAAGAUAAAAAUUGUUUUUUUUCUUAUGUUUAGCAGAAAGAGUUAAUUACAUCUGCUCCUCUCUUCAAUAGAAAGAGAAAACCUCUUUUUCUCUGGAGAGAAGAUGAAAGGAUCGUGGGUUUUCCUAACUUAUUGGAGAGUAAAUACAUGCUGUUAAAGGCCAGAUAAGCCCAAGUGUCUCUGAUUUCUAAAGCCUAGAGAUGUCUCCAAGAUCUCAGGCCUUAUAUUACUGUAAAAUGUAAAUGUAUACAUUUAUAUUAGGUAAAUCUUUUUGGACUUCACUGAAUUCCAACUGUACAACUAUCUGUACAGUU